AACCACUACAUCCUACGGAAACGCCAAGACAGUAAGGGGUCUUUCUGUUCCCCACUGUGACAGACCCUCACUGUAAAUAGAGCCGGGGUUCCUCACGCGGGUAUAAUAUCCCCGGGGGAGGGCUAUACACUCCCGGCUCAGGGUCGAAGUUGCCCACAGAGGGCUGUGAGACUACUUCCUACUGCUACCUGUACCGGACUUUCC
Molecule: non-coding RNA, 204 nt
Organism: Pelobates cultripes (western spadefoot toad)
Lineage: Eukaryota; Metazoa; Chordata; Amphibia; Anura; Pelobatidae
Source: the annotation of a GenBank genome assembly